UGCCAGCAGCCGCGGUAACACGGGGGGCGCAAGCGUUAUUCGGAAUUAUUGGGCGUAAAGAGCAUAUAGGCGGACUGUUAAGUCUGAUGUGAAAGCCCGGGGCUCAACCCCGGAAGUGCAUUGGAUACUGGCAGUCUUGAGUAUGGGAGAGGAAAGUGGAAUUCCGAGUGUAGGAGUGAAAUCCGUAGAUAUUCGGAGGAACACCAGUGGCGAAGGCGGCUUUCUGGACCAAUACUGACGCUGAGGCGCGAAGGCGUGGGUAGCGAACGGGAUUAGAUA
RNAcentral lists this ribosomal RNA (279 nucleotides) under uncultured bacterium. Its description in RNAcentral is "partial 16S ribosomal RNA". It matches the Rfam family "Bacterial small subunit ribosomal RNA", at positions 506 to 784 of the family's 1533-position model. The record is from RNAcentral.